Portunus trituberculatus (swimming crab) is the source of this 7412-nucleotide long non-coding RNA. RefSeq lists it as uncharacterized. The transcript is spliced from 4 exons. The record is from RefSeq and is a predicted model, not a curated record. NCBI's taxonomy places the organism in Eukaryota, Metazoa, Arthropoda, Malacostraca, Decapoda, Portunidae.
GGCACAGUGUGUGUGUGUGUGUGUGUGUGUGUGUGUGUGUGUGUGUGUGUGUGUGUGUGUGUGUGUGUGUGUGUGUGUUGGAUGGCACUCAGAAUGAUUUUAUAUAUAUAUAAGGAAAGAACAAGUUAGGCAUUGUAAUAACACUAUUUUGAAAAAAUUUACUCUGCAUGAUUAGCAGUAGCUUCUGUUUUGGGGCCUGAAGUAACAAUCCCGGUGUGUACAUUAUCACCACAUUGUUACAGCUCACUAGGGGAUGGAAAGCUUUCUAAGUUUUAUAAAGACCUCAGACCAAGAAGCAAAUGUAGAUCACAUAGAUCUGCAGAUAUUAGUAAUGAGUUUUAAUGUAAAGAAAGGAAACUUUUAUGAAGUUAUUGUAUACAUGUAUAUAUUUAUAUAUGUAAUAAGCACUUCUGAAAAUGGAAAGUUUAUAUUCAGGAUAUUUUGUAACAAUCCUCUGACUGUUUGCUCUAUUGUUGGAUAUUUUAAUGUGACUUUAAUUGUUAAAUUAUAGUGGCAUGUGAGAAAGAACAUGUACUAUUGGAAGUAAUGUUUCAGCUUUAUUUCUUAAGUGUACCUAUAUCUUUAAAUCUUAAAAUAAUAUUUAUUAUUGCCCUUCAAACUUUGUGUCAAAUUUCAUGCCAAAUAAUAACAAUUACAGUUAAUUCCUAUUACCAAACUGCCAUUCAUUGUGUACAUUGCAAUUAUGCCUUUUUCUAAAGUUUUAUUAGUUUUUUUUUAAUGAGAAAAUAUAUUUUGACCUUUAUUAAGUUAUGAUGUUUUCCGUUUUAUCCUUUAGAAACUAAAUUAAGUUCAUAGGUUUAGGAAAGAUUUAUGCUGUCUUUUGCUGUGUUGAUGUUAAUGUAGUGUCAGUGCUUUAUUGCACUUGUAAGCUAUUAUGCAAUUUCUGCUUCUCGGUGUAACUCACUGCAUUUCAUGUGUUUUCAGUGUGUGUUAGAUCUAUUAGGUAUAUUUUACGUACCUUGAGUGUGUGUAUUGAGAUUUAUUUGAGUAUUUGCAUGUUUUUGGUGUUUUGGGGUUAAUUUUGAGUGUUUUAAGCUGUGUGGCUGUGUGAUAUGGGUGUUUUGAGGGUGAUUAUACAUUGGGUGUUUCUAUUGAGGCAUUUUGAGGUGUUGCAUGGCUUUUCGAGUCCAUUUUGGGUUAGUUUUGAGUGUUGUAAGUUUUUUUUAUGUAUUUAGGUGUGUGGGGGUGAUUCUAGUGAGUUUUGGAACAUUUUGAGGUUUUGCAUGGUGUUCUGAGUGUGUUUUGGGUUAGUUUUGAGUGUUUUAAGUGGUUUAUGUGUGUGUGGGGAUGAUUUUAAUAAUAAUAAUAAUACAGCUUGCCAGCGUCCCGUGAGGAAGUCAGCCAGCCAUGCCGUCAGGUGAGAGGGGAGAGCCAGCCUGAUAGCUUUGUUUAUGACAACAGUGUGGUCAACUAGAUCAAAAGCUUUUUUUGAAGUCUACAAAAGCAACUGCUAGAGAGGUGUUCUGUUUGUCCAGGUGAUUAUGAAUGAAGUCAAGGAAGCCGAGGUAGUUCUGAUAUUGCCAAAUUGCUGAAUGUCUAAGAAGGAACUGAUUUUGUUGUAUGUCCAGUCAAACACAAAGUCUUCACAGAUAAAGCUAGGGAUGGGUGUGAUAGCAACUGGUCUAAGAUCAUUUAAAGAUUGUGGGCUGGCAGUUUUAGGGAUGGGUGUGACAAAUGAUGUUUUCCAGUCGACAGGGCAUGAGUACUGUGAGAGAGAUGCAUUUAUUAUUGAGCAGAGAGGGGUGGCUAGUUCCGGAGCAAAUUAUUUGUAAAUCUUAAUGGGUAGGUCAGUAGGGGUGGUUGAGUUUCAGAAUUCUCUUGUAGACAUCCAUCACCUCUACAGCUGGAGGAGGAGAGGGAGCAGGGAGACUUGAGGGAUGAAGGGGUGGGAAUGUUUGACAGAUUGUGGCAAAGUGGCUAUUCAUCUCGUCUGCUGCUGCCUCAGCAGGGAGGUGUGAGGUACAAGGUAAAGGAGAGGACUGCUUUUGGUGCAUAAUAGAUGUUUCUAAUGAGUGUUGUGUGUUUUAUGGACAUUUUGAGGCGUUUUAUAGUGUGUUUUUUAGUGUUUUAAGUUGUUUGGGUGUGUGAAGUGUCUUAGGUGUGUGUAGGAGUGAUUUUGGUGUUUACUGGGUGUUUCUUGUGAGUUAUGGUUGUGUUUUAGAGCAUUUUUAGGUGUUACAUGGUGUUUUGAGUGUGCUUGGGGAUAAAAUUGAGUGUUUUAAUUGCUUUGGGUGUCUGUGGGGUGUAUUAAAAGUGUGUAGAAGGGCAUUUUUAGAUAGUUUGGCAUGUUUUGAGGGCAUUUUAAGACAGCUUGGCAUGUUUUGAGGGCAUUUUAAGACAGUUUGGUUAAAUUAAGGCCAUCUUAUUGACAUUAGAAAGAGUCUAUGGAGGUCAGAAGAUAGCCACAGUCUUCACUAUUUCAAUCCCCCACAUAGCUGUAUCAAUUAUCAAAUCAUUAAGAUUGAUACAGUUUAUAGAGACAAAAAUUAAAAUGUCAACAUUAGAAAAAGGAAAGAAAAAGAUAAAGUAAACCAAAAUUAGGCAAAAUAUAUAAAGUAAAAAAUGUAUAAACUACCAAAACAAUAAAAAAUUCUUCCCAAAAUCAAUGAAAACAAAGAUGAAAAAAAAAUGGAAACAAAUCCAAAACAAACCUAAAACAAAUUGAUAAGUAAUUCAACAACGACAAAAUUUUUAAAUAAGCACAAGUAAGAAACUAAUUUCAUGGUUAAAUCCCCAAUCUUAACGUUAUACUACCACGUCUCGCUUCUAAUGCACGUAACUUGAAGCAGCCUCGUUACGUUAAUCCUGUCCAUUUUUUGCCGAUUCUGAGACCUAUUCUAUAACAAGGGUACCACAAUGACUAAUCUGAAAUAUUUUAACCUCAAAUAUAACUUAAUGAGCUCAAUAGUAACGUGACAUGUUCAGCACCAAGAUGCGUUGUCAUAUUCCUUCUGUUACUAUUUGGUGAUUUUAUACAACUUCAGAAACUAAAGUGAGGAAUUAAAAAAUAGUGAAGUCUCUGUCAUUAACCUUGUCACAUCCAUACACGCUUUGUGAUAAUAAAAUGAUCCAAUCGUACACACCAAGUAAAAAUGCGUAUAGAAUUCUUCCAUUCUACAUACCUACAAUGACCACGAAAACACUUCACUUGGUACAGCCAUUACCCAAAUCUAUUCUGAACCCAUGUUACUAUAACCACACUAGUGAAUGAACGACCUUCUGUCCUUACCGACAACUAGAUCAAACACUCAUACGUAGCGAUAAUUCCUCAUACAUCCUACAUACAGACACACAGACAGACACCGUAGUAAUUCUCUCUCUCUCUCUCUCUGGCGGCGGAUCAGGGAGGCUCCACACAAUAACGAUGCAGUUGAUUGGAGAGCCAUCUUGAACGAAGCGCCAAGACGAGUAUACAUACCCCCGGGUACUGCUCAGCGAGGCGGUGGUCCACAUCCACUGGGUAGCGAGUGAGGAGGAACUGAGGGUACUUGUGUGGCCGCACGUGGGAGUCCUGAGGGACAAGAGGCAGGGACAGGAAUUCCCCGGAUGUGAUGCGUUCCAAUAUGUCCUUACGCUGCCUCGAAACGUACACGAACCGGGAGGUGAGCGCAGCCAUCUUGACCUGAGCCUCGUCUCGCCGCAGGUGGAACGCCUUGGUGACAGCAGACAGCCAGCGGAGCUUAACUUCGGGUGAUGGACUGCCACUGAAGGCGAGCUUGAUGUAGCUGUCUCGUGGAACAAAUGCUGGUAGGGCAGGCGAGGGCCCGGCAGGGGUGACAAGAAAAGCACCAGUAACAGGCAGGUGAGGGCGAGGAGGCGGCUCAUCAUGCACCAGCGAAGCACCCUUGGCAGUCUUGGCAGCGGGGGGCUGACAGCCCCCAGCAGGCGAAUCAGGGGCGUCUUCAGCAGGCCGCUUACCACCGGAGGACGAGGAAGGCUGGGGGGCACCAUGGCGAGGAGCGGGUGGAGGGUGGUGAGGCGGCGCAGCAGAAGGCAGGUCAGGCUAGUGGUUCACGACAGCAGAGUCAUCCUCGGGGUCAAACAACGCCAGGUCAAAGUCUGGGCACGACGCUACAGCAGGGCCGGAGCAGGCCAUCAGGGAGGAAGACCUAGGCAACUGCAGCAGAGCUACCAGCAGCCGUAGGAACACCGCCGCGGAGAACAAGCUCGUUUCAGCAAACCAAAACAGCAGCAAGACGUUGGAGAGCGCUGAGUGAGCGCAGGAAACCGCUCUGUGUGCUGAGGCGGAUAACGGCGCAGGUGGGGACAGGUGGCAGCCUAGGGUACGGGAGGGCUUGUCUUCGGGGGUCCGUGGUGCCUUGGUGUCCAGGGUGCGAAGCUUCUUCUCUGGGCUGGGAGCCUUGUGGUCUGCGGAGGGGGGACUUUUACCGCUUCAGUCAUGAUUCAGCCUUCGUAUGGGGUAAUGUCUCUGCCUUUCAUCCUAUGAAACAUUGAGGAUCAGAAAAGAAAACACUACAAUGGGAUCAUGCAAAAGAUAGGUAAAUAAAUAAAUAGAGAAUAAAAUUUUAUUCAUCACUGAUAUAAGAAUAAUUUUUACAGUUAGACCAUAUAUACAUCUAUGAGUACACUAGAAAAAAGAAAUUAUGCAAAAGUUAAUUAUAUUUUGUGGUUUUCAUCCUCAAUUUUUUGGAGUAUUUUUUUCUCAAAUGUUCCAAUCUUCUUAAGUAAUUGAAAAAUUUACUCUCAUCAUCAAUAUGAUGAGGAAAUAAAGUAUGAAACUCUCCUUCACUCUUUCUAUCUUUCAGCAUAGGAUGAAGCCACAAUCUCCUCCUUUUUUGCUUUCUUUCUUCAUCUUCGUUAAGUGGAAUGGCGAUCACUGCCAAAUCAGAUAGAGAAAAGUCACUUAUCAUCUGUCACUGGUGGUGUGACUUUCACUAGUGUUGGAGAGGAAGGGAUGGGACUGAUAGCAGAGCGGGAGCAGACCGGACAUGUGAAUGCACCAGGACCUUGACCAGAGCGAGAGCUGAGCAAGAGCAUAGCGAGAGCGAAGCGGAACCUUAGCGAUAGUGUGAAUCAAGCCUUAGCCUCAGGAGGUGAGGGGGCUUCGGCGCCGCGUCGGGAGCAAGCUUAGCUAGUGUACUAUAGUGGUGUUCACUACAUGUGUGUGUGUGUGUGUGUCUGUAGGGAUGAUAUUAGUAACUUGAGUGUCUCUAGUGUGUUUUGGGUGAGCUUUUUAUAUUUUGAGGUUUUGCAGGGUGUUUUGGGUUAAUUUUGAGUUAUUUCAGUUGUUUAUGUGUGUGUCAGUUGUGUAUGGUGUGUGUUUUGUGGUGUGGUGUUAGUAUUGGUGUAUACUGUGUGUUUCUAGUGAAUUGUAAGUGCGUUUGUUGGUACUUUGAGGUUUUUCACGUUGGCAGUAUCUAAGGGGAUUUGACAAAGCUAGGUUCAAUGAUUUCAAAUUCUUGACCAAUAUAACAGGUUCGGCAGUGUUCCAAAUUGAUAUGGACAGUAAACUGAACAAUGGUUUUAGUAUUUUGUAAGCACGAGUGAUAAUUUGGAAGUGAUUAUUGAGUCGGUAGGUUUGUGUGCGGGUGGGGUUAAUUCACAGUACAUAAGCCGGAGAACAUUAAGAUGAAAAUAAUGACAAAUAUUUAAUGUGAUUCGCAAUAUACAUAGAGGUGGAUGAAAUUGGGCAACCUUGCUUAUUGUAGGCACCAUUAAUGAAGACCUUUGACUGUCUGUGUGGGAGUGUAAAUUUUGUUGUUUGUCGGUUACUUCUAUUUCAAGAAAACACGGAAAGCUAAGAUGAACAGCAUUGUGGUAACUUACUGCUAGGGUUUCUCUCUCUUAAAACGCCAUCUAGUCCAUCUAAAUUUACCUAACGAUAGUCUAAACCAUGAAUAAAAGUGCUGUUAAAAUGCAAGGUCAGCAUUUCACUCACAGUUUACAAUAGUGGCAGAGCUGCAGACGACCCCCGCACAGAGGAGCAAUAACAGUCAGUCAGUCAGUCAGUUCUCCCACGGCGGUGGCAGUGGCAUCCCGAAGCAGCACAUGUGUGACGGCACCAAUGAUUACAGCAGUAACGAAGAGGUGGGGAGAAGGCCUUGCUUUUGUCACUACGGCACGCAAGACUUAACUCAUGCCCUGAACUCCAUUGUUUCAUAUAAAAGUUGCAGGCUUUCUUACAUUGUAUACAGUACAAUAAAAAAUCACAACUUGACAGUACUGAAGCAAAUGCCUUUCAUGUGGCAGGAUGAGUUUGUGCAGCUGUGUGGCAUUGACGAGUGCCGGGAGAAGAAUGCCGGGUGUGUGUGAGCCUCUGUGCAUCAACACUCGAGAGUCAUACUGCUGCCAGUGCCGGCCAUGCAGGGUACAGACUUGUCAGGAAGUUCAAGUGUGAAGACGUUGACGAGUGCGUUGAGUCACCCAGAUCCUCUCCCUGUGGACCAUCCCCUCAGCAGUGUUCGAUCCGCCCAGCAGCAGCAAGGGUCAGGAAAAGGCGGUCAUUGAAGUGUCAAGUCCCUAAGCUGGCAUGGUGGUGGGUGUUGUGCUGGGCUCCCUUGGGGUUCUUUGCCUAGCUGUUGGGAUGUUUGUCGGGUUCCUGAAGAUGCGUUGACGUAUUAUCAUCCACGCAAGCUUCCCCAACCCGGCCAGUGUACCACAAGACAACAGUCACUGAGGAGGACGGGAGCGAGCGGCUGCAUGCACUAUUAAACGGGACGGCAUUAGAUUCUUCAUACAGAUGUAUGACUACACUUAAGCAAGCCCAGAAUAAAGUGUUGAGUGACCAUGAUGAUUCAGUACUGCUAACGCCAAAGAAGUGAGGGAAGUGUUUGGAGUGAGCGUGCAAGACGUACAACAGACAUCAGACUGCUACUGCCGGUGUAGCCAAAGGAACACGAGGAGGCGGAGGAGGAGGAGGAAGAAGAGGAGGAACAAGAGGGUGAUUCUUGGAUAUGUACCAAUGAAGUGCUGAAGGUUGGCCACAAAUCUUCAUUACUGGUGUAGUGUAUUUCAUUGACCAUUUGUAGAUUGGGUGGAUAAAUUUGUAGAUUUUGUAGACAGUUGUAGAUGGGAAGUGGGUAAGGUCUUUUGCAAUGCCUUAUCUACACAAGCAGAAAACAAUGAUAUAUAGAAGUUGUGCAUAGCAUUGUGAAAGGAAUAUACAAUGUACAUAUGUAUAUAGUAAUUAAAAUAGGAGUGUGUAGUCCAAGAGAGGAAAUUAACCUCUAUUAGAGAUUUUGGUGAUUUUUUUUUUUUUUUUAUGUAGUGUUAGACAUAUCAAAAGGUUUUGAUAGAGUUUGGCAUAAAGCUCUGAUUUCAAAACUGCCCUCCUACGGUUUCUUUGCUUCUCUCUGCAACUUUAUCUCAAGUUUCCUUUCUGACUAUCCUAUUGCUGCUGUGGUAACGGCCACUGUUCUUCUCCUAAAUCU